Pelobates cultripes (western spadefoot toad) is the source of this 640-nucleotide non-coding RNA. NCBI's taxonomy places the organism in Eukaryota, Metazoa, Chordata, Amphibia, Anura, Pelobatidae. The record is from the annotation of a GenBank genome assembly.
GGUCAAUAUUCCUUCAGCCCCCACAGUAGCCGUGUGCAGUAUAGCAAGCGGUGUUGCUGGGGGAGAAACUCCUGUGGUGACUGUGUGCGGUAUAGCGCAAACAGCUUGGCAGGAGGGGUUGUAAGUAAAAGCUGUGUGCGGUAUAGCAAACAGCUGUGCAGAGGGGUUUUCUGUGGUGCCAUGUGCGGCAUAGCAAGUGGCAGUAUGGAGAUUAUUGAGUACGGGGACAGGGAAGGGUUAAGGGAAGGGUAAAUGUGUUUUAACCAUAUAUGCUUUUUGGGUUCUUGUUUGCAAUAGAUGUAAAAUAUCUGCCCUGAAUCUAUUUUGCAUAAGGGGAAGGAAUUUCACAGGAUAUUUAGCUUUGGUUGCAUUUUAAUUGCAUAAGGAAAACGGGGGGAAACCGUUAAGCUCCUGCGAGGUAUGGUCAUAGCGCGGUAUAGCACGUUACAUUGCGGAGAGAGUGUGGGGGGUUAUUUUUGUGAUUUGUCGAGUGUUUUGUUGAUUGCAUUUAUAUUUGAGCCUUCUGAUGUAUAUCUCUCUUUGUAGCCUGUUUGUUUGCAUUAAGUUGUGUCCUGUUUGUCUUUUCCCUUCUAUUCUUUUGACUGGGUACUCACAGGGUUAAUUUUGUGUCUGUAAAUGC